UGAGUUAUUUAUUAAUGACUAAACCAGGCGAUGCACUUUCUCCAGUUUAGACAAACCUCCUGAAUCUGCCAAUUAGAAAUUUAACAGGGGUGGUACCUUCUGGUUUCUUUCAGUAACCACUGCUCUUACAAAUAAAGGCUUGCACUUUUCUAGUCUGUAGCACUUAUAAAGUUAUCACAGCUUAAACGGAGUGUCACAUUAAAAACAGUUUUCAGGUCACCUGAGCCAUAGUGAUAGAUGUCUUUGAGGACCACUUCUGCCAAGUUGUGCUUCUCUAGAUUCUUCUGUGCCUGAAGGCUUGCAGAGAGUGCUUGGAAAAUACUUGCUAGACUUCUCCAGCUAUGGAAGGGUUUCUAAUGAUUUCUUAAGAGGGACCACACUUUGAGCUAUGCAGCUCAAGAGAGCUUAAAGAAAAAAUUAGCAGGGAAGUUGUCAGAGCUUUGAACAGAGCAGCCCAUGAAGACUGGGUACAUUGAGAUAAGAGCAAAGGAUAGAAUACCUGACUUUCCUGCCAGGAACAUUAAUUUAACUGGAGUUCAUACCGCAAGAGAAGCAUGUUCAACUGGAAAAGAGAUGGUGGAAAUCAGAAAAGAAUUAGUUUCAACAUUUUCUAAGAAAACAAGCAGAAAGUUUGAUAUCUGAAUUUAUGUUACAGAAGGAAUUCUUUCUGAAUAUGUCCUUGUGCUGCUUCAGACCCCUUCCAUGGAAAAGAGCUGUGAUUCCAGGAUGGAAGACAAGAAAAAUCUGCUGCCUAAAGGGAAGCAGCAAUCUGUGAGCUGCCUGCCUGCGAGAGAACAGACAGACAGUCAAGAUCCCUGUACUAGUGAGUGCCCAGAAGUCUGCUGCCACUGCAGGGCAUUGGUGCCUGGCAUACACUUGGUUAAGGCCUGAACUGCUGCCUGCUACACCUCUGAAAAGGAAUGAGAACAAACUUGUCAGCAGCUGUCUCCAGUGGUGCUUGUGGGUUUGCUUUGUGUUGCAGGCUCGUAUUGUGAGACCAGACUGCAGAUGUUUUCAGGGACAGUGUAAAUACUACAGCAGUUAGAUCAGCUCCAUUUUUCAAGUUUCUCUAAUGUUUUAUAUUCUGACACGUGAAAUUGGCUUUUAAUUGCUCCUAUGCAGUGGGUCUGUUUUCCUUUGCCUAGAGAGAAUAAAUGGAGACUGGAGCCUCUAAAGUGGUCUGAUAUCAGCCUGAGCUGAGGGACACAAACACACAGCAGGAAUGGCAAAAGAAUGACCCUGGUUUCGUUACACAGGAAGGCUCUAAGAACUUAAACUGUACAAUAUGUAUAAUGUACUAAGUCCAAUAUCUUAGCAACUGAAUUCAACAUCAUAACUGGAAUCAGUAAGAAAACAUAACAAUUGGAUUUAAAAUGAAUCCAUACCUCUGAAGUUGCAUACACACAAUCUAUAUACCAUAAUACAUUAAUAGGAAGACUGCAUUUUGUCCUUAGGAUUAUAAAUUGUUCACUUGGAAGUGCUCGAAGUUAGCAGCAGAUAGAAAGCAAUGAUAAAGUUCAGAAAAUGUGGGUCUCCAGGAUUAAUAUGCUUUAAAAUAUACCUAAUGUAUACUCUGAGUUCAGCACGUGUUGUUCACAUGGAAUAUUUUUAGUGGGAUGGGACAUUCCUCAAGAUACUGAGAGAAUGAGGUAGUCAUCACUCUCGACCAGAAUUCUUGUAUACAGAAAUUAAAUGAACUUGGCAAAACUCUUGUGCUACAACUAUGGCUACACGGUCAUUUUAACAGCACAUGCAUUUGUGAGAAAGAAAAUUAAUCUGAAGUUCUGCAUCACUACAGAGGAGUUUGAUGGCAAAUAAAGCCUCAGACAAUGAAUGUCUGUGAAUGAAAAAGAAUUACUUAUUAAAAAAUGUUCGCUGAAUUGUUUCUAUUAGCACUACACAUGAUUUUCUGAAAGUGCAACGAAAUUUUGGCUGCAAAAAUGAAACAUGAAAUUCCCACUGCCUGCCAGUUUUAAUCAAAUAUAGAACUCAGCUUGAAGGCUGAAAUGGUGCUGUGGGGAAGUAGGGCUGGCUGUCUCCCAUUAAAGGCCUGCAAGCGUUUUUUUGUUGUUAAGUUUGUG
This 2081-nucleotide long non-coding RNA is filed under the name Gallus gallus (chicken). Lineage: Eukaryota; Metazoa; Chordata; Aves; Galliformes; Phasianidae. The record is from RNAcentral.